Pelobates cultripes (western spadefoot toad) is the source of this 361-nucleotide non-coding RNA. NCBI's taxonomy places the organism in Eukaryota, Metazoa, Chordata, Amphibia, Anura, Pelobatidae. The record is from the annotation of a GenBank genome assembly.
UUUCAGCCUGCUUAUAGUCUUUGAGAAAAGGGGAAAGACAAAGACACAGAAGAGGUAUAACAGAAUGUCAGAGAGGAGGAGGGUCUGAGGUAUAAGACAACUUGCAGGAACAAGCAGAUGAAAAAAUUAUGGUCGCUCGCAGAGCAAAGGGAAUAAGAAGGUGUGUAUUUGUUAGUAAAGAAAAAAUAUAGUGAAGAGUGGAAUUUUUGAGGGCUUUGUAGGUAGAUGUUAGUAGUCUGAAUUGGGUCUUAAAGGGUAGAAGAAGCCAAUGUAAUGAUUGGCAAAUAAUAAUAAUUAUAAUUAUUAUCAUUAUUAUUUAAUGUCUUGCUGUGUAGCUCUGUCUGCUCACUGUACAUCAUGG